RNAcentral lists this long non-coding RNA (689 nucleotides) under Monodelphis domestica (gray short-tailed opossum). RNAcentral's name for it is "lncRNA (ENSMODG00000037555.1)". Lineage: Eukaryota; Metazoa; Chordata; Mammalia; Didelphimorphia; Didelphidae. The record is from RNAcentral.
GUUAUAGGUAUUAUUUAGUAUAACAUAAGUAGCAGUUGUAAUUUGACUCAUAUCUUUCUCAUUAUAGGUCCAGUUUUUAUCCAUAGAACUAUGUACAUGCCUCUAGGAUGGAGUAGAGAAUGGAAGGAGUAGGCAGUUUAUUUGGACUCAUGGAGGUAGAAGAUGGAAUACUUGGUCAUGCCCAGGAGAACAUUUAUUCCAAUGCCUCAACCCCUCAGAAGCAUUGAAUUACCUCCAUAGUAUGAGAAGUAUUAAAGUACUUGGAGAUGUUGCUCUGGCUAUUGUAACAUAACAAACCAGUGAAAUGUGUCCUGUCAACCUGGGCUUGAAGCUGUGCCUUUUGCCUCACAAUACCCCAGAGGAACGAUUAGAGCAUGAUAACAACCAACUUCCUGCUGUGCUGUAUUGCUUUCAUACACUAAUUACAAGAGAAGCGGCAAGAUCUGUUUUUCCUCAAACUUUGCACAUCAAGAAAAAAAUUAGAUUCACCAUUUUAUAGUCUUUGCUAUAGGAGGGAGGAAUGAAGGAGAAGCUUAGAAAGAGAAUCAAAGGAAAUGCUAAAAGAAGAGAGACUAUUCAAGUGGUUUGCUAUCUCUUAUUUUUUAAAGAAGCUGAGUUCAGAAUAGGGCAGGGGUAAUGAAUGUUGUUAUUUUGGGGAGUAAGGAUAAACAAUUAAAAAUUCACAAGCA